GUGCAAGUAUGAACCAAUUUGAACUAUGAAACUGCGAAUGGCUCAUUAAAUCAGUUAUAGUUUGUUUGAUGGUACGUGCUACUCGGAUAACCGUAGUAAUUCUAGAGAUAAUACGUGCAACAAACCAUGACUUCUAGGAGGGGUGCAUUUAUUAGAUAAAAGGCUGACACGGGCUCUGCUUGCUAUUCCGAUGAUUCAUGAUAAGCCGAUGCAGCAAAAAAAAUCAGGGACCCGAACUCUGGAGCACCUAGUUGCUCCGACGCCCAGUUCCUUUGUG
Molecule: non-coding RNA, 277 nt
Organism: Triticum aestivum (bread wheat)
Lineage: Eukaryota; Viridiplantae; Streptophyta; Magnoliopsida; Poales; Poaceae
Source: Rfam